This 301-nucleotide ribosomal RNA is filed under the name uncultured bacterium. Its description in RNAcentral is "partial 16S ribosomal RNA". It matches the Rfam family "Bacterial small subunit ribosomal RNA", at positions 509 to 807 of the family's 1533-position model. The record is from RNAcentral.
CAGUCGCCGCGGGAAUACGAAGGGUGCAAGCGUUAAUCGGAAUUACUGGGCGUAAAGCGUGCGUAGGCGGUGAGUUAAGUCUGCUGUGAAAUCCCCGGGCUUAACCUGGGAACUGCGCUUGUGACUGCACAGCUAGAGUAUGGCAGAGGGGGGUGGAAUUCCACGUGUAGCAGUGAAAUGCGUAGAGAUGUGGAGGAACACCGAUGGCGAAGGCAGCCCCCUGGGCCAAUACUGACGCUCAUGCACGAAAGCGUGGGGAGCAAACAGGAUUAGAUACCCCAGUAGUCCCUGUCUCUUAUAC